This 324-nucleotide ribosomal RNA is filed under the name uncultured eukaryote. RNAcentral describes it as "partial 18S ribosomal RNA". It matches the Rfam family "Eukaryotic small subunit ribosomal RNA", at positions 1470 to 1796 of the family's 1831-position model. The record is from RNAcentral.
CCCUUAGAUGCUCUGGGCCGCACGCGCGCUACACUAGUCGAUGCAACGAGUUUCUUUCCUUGGCCGACAGGCCUGGGCAAUCUUUGAACAUCGAUCGUGAUCGGGAUAGAUUCUUGUAAUUUUUGAUCUUAAACGAGGAAUUCCUAGUAAACGCAAGUCAUCAGCUUGCAUUGAUUACGUCCCUGCCCUUUGUACACACCGCCCGUCGCACCUACCGAUUGAAUGGUCCGGUGAAAUCUCCGGACUGGCGUGAGUCGGAGCAAUCUGACAAACGCCGGAAAGUUGAUUAAACCUUACCAUUUAGAGGAAGGUGAAGUCGUAACA